Molecule: ribosomal RNA, 1039 nt
Filed under: Staphylococcus aureus
Lineage: Bacteria; Bacillati; Bacillota; Bacilli; Caryophanales; Staphylococcaceae
Description: partial 23S ribosomal RNA
Rfam family: Bacterial large subunit ribosomal RNA
Source: RNAcentral
AUUAGACGAAUCAUCUGGAAAGAUGAAUCAAAGAAGGUAAUAAUCCUGUAGUCGAAAAUGUUGUCUCUCUUGAGUGGAUCCUGAGUACGACGGAGCACGUGAAAUUCCGUCGGAAUCUGGGAGGACCAUCUCCUAAGGCUAAAUACUCUCUAGUGACCGAUAGUGAACCAGUACCGUGAGGGAAAGGUGAAAAGCACCCCGGAAGGGGAGUGAAAUAGAACCUGAAACCGUGUGCUUACAAGUAGUCAGAGCCCGUUAAUGGGUGAUGGCGUGCCUUUUGUAGAAUGAACCGGCGAGUUACGAUUUGAUGCAAGGUUAAGCAGUAAAUGUGGAGCCGUAGCGAAAGCGAGUCUGAAUAGGGCGUUUAGUAUUUGGUCGUAGACCCGAAACCAGGUGAUCUACCCUUGGUCAGGUUGAAGUUCAGGUAACACUGAAUGGAGGACCGAACCGACUUACGUUGAAAAGUGAGCGGAUGAACUGAGGGUAGCGGAGAAAUUCCAAUCGAACCUGGAGAUAGCUGGUUCUCUCCGAAAUAGCUUUAGGGCUAGCCUCAAGUGAUGAUUAUUGGAGGUAGAGCACUGUUUGGACGAGGGGCCCCUCUCGGGUUACCGAAUUCAGACAAACUCCGAAUGCCAAUUAAUUUAACUUGGGAGUCAGAACAUGGGUGAUAAGGUCCGUGUUCGAAAGGGAAACAGCCCAGACCACCAGCUAAGGUCCCAAAAUAUAUGUUAAGUGGAAAAGGAUGUGGCGUUGCCCAGACAACUAGGAUGUUGGCUUAGAAGCAGCCAUCAUUUAAAGAGUGCGUAAUAGCUCACUAGUCGAGUGACACUGCGCCGAAAAUGUACCGGGGCUAAACAUAUUACCGAAGCUGUGGAUUGUCCUUUGGACAAUGGUAGGAGAGCGUUCUAAGGGCGUUGAAGCAUGAUCGUAAGGACAUGUGGAGCGCUUAGAAGUGAGAAUGCCGGUGUGAGUAGCGAAAGACGGGUGAGAAUCCCGUCCACCGAUUGACUAAGGUUUCCAGAGGAAGGCUCGUCCGCUC